UACGUAUGUGGCAAGCGUUGUCCGGGUUUACUGGGCGUAAAGGGCGCGUAGGCGGCAAUUCAAGUCAUCUGUGAAAUCUCCGGGCUUAACCCGGAACGGUCAGAUGAUACUGCUUUGCUAGAGUGCGGAAGGGGCAAUCGGAAUUCUUGGUGUAGCGGUGAAAUGCGUAGAUAUCAAGAGGAACACCUGAGGUGAAGACGGGUUGCUGGGCCGACACUGACGCUGAUAGCGCGAAAGCCAGGGGAGCAAACGGG
This 254-nucleotide ribosomal RNA is filed under the name uncultured bacterium. Its description in RNAcentral is "partial 16S ribosomal RNA". It matches the Rfam family "Bacterial small subunit ribosomal RNA", at positions 524 to 776 of the family's 1533-position model. The record is from RNAcentral.